This 253-nucleotide ribosomal RNA is filed under the name uncultured bacterium. RNAcentral's name for it is "partial 16S ribosomal RNA". It matches the Rfam family "Bacterial small subunit ribosomal RNA", at positions 524 to 776 of the family's 1533-position model. The record is from RNAcentral.
UACGAAGGGGGCUAGCGUUGCUCGGAUUUACUGGGCGUAAAGGGCGCGUAGGCGGUUCGUACAGUCAGACGUGAAAUUCCUGGGCUCAACCUGGGGGCUGCGUUUGAUACGUGCGGACUUGAGUGCGGAAGAGGGUCGUGGAAUUCCCAGUGUAGAGGUGAAAUUCGUAGAUAUUGGGAAGAACACCGGUGGCGAAGGCGGCGACCUGGUCCGAUACUGACGCUGAUGCGCGAAAGCGUGGGGAGCAAACGGG